Molecule: small RNA, 29 nt
Filed under: Bombyx mori (domestic silkworm)
Lineage: Eukaryota; Metazoa; Arthropoda; Insecta; Lepidoptera; Bombycidae
Description: ovarian small RNA-13817
Source: RNAcentral
CCGAGAUUGGAGCCUUCGCGCUCUCACUA